Oreochromis aureus is the source of this 1476-nucleotide long non-coding RNA. RefSeq lists it as uncharacterized. NCBI's taxonomy places the organism in Eukaryota, Metazoa, Chordata, Actinopteri, Cichliformes, Cichlidae. The record is from RefSeq and is a predicted model, not a curated record. The transcript has 4 exons.
AAGCAGGACGCAGCAAAAGCGCGGCUUCCUCUGUUGGCUUAACAACAAACUGGCUAAAAAAUGGGAAAUCUCACGCGACUGAAAAAACUAAUUAACGAGGAGAUUUCGAAAAGAGGUCCACUGAAGCUUAUAAAAUAUCUUCAGAGGAAAAAGCUACUUAAAAGAAAAAUAAAAUGCAAAGUCUGCUAGCAGAAAAUGAAACUGAAGAAAAGGGUGAACAACGGAGACCAAUAUGCUUGGAUCUGUCGUGGAGCAGCACAUGGUGGACACGUCAAACAAACCUCCGUCAGACACAAGUCACUUUUCAGCCGUUCUAAAGUCUCACUUCAACGCUGGAUGCAAUUUAUCUACAGAUUUUCUCAGGGUCUGUGAUUACGUCAAAUCGACAUGAUAGAUGACACCAUUGCAUGCAGCACAACAAGACUUAGUAAAAUGUCCAAAAAAAUAAGGAGGGUACGUGUGGCUGCAGUUCAAAGAUUGAGACGUUGUACAGGUCAGCAGAUUGGUGGCCGAAGGGAGUUUGUUGUGAUUGAUGAGAGUCACUUUCGUCACAAACAAAAGUAUGGGAGAGGAAGAAUGGCUGGGGGAUGGAAAAGAAGAAAGUGGGACUUUGGAAUGCUGGGCAGAAAACAUCGAGGGAAAACAUGGCCUAUCUUGCAACUUGUGGAGAAAAGAUCUCGAAGACAUCUUGUUCCUGUGAUUACCCUUCAUGUCCGGAUUGGUUCCUCAGUGAUAAGUGAUGAAUGGCGGGCCUAUUGUGUACUCCCAAAUUUAGGGUAUGAACACCAUACUGUUAACCACAGCAGGUGGUAUGUUGACCCUCGUACAGGUGCCCAUACCCAACAUCUGGAGAGAGCCUGGAGGUCUUACAAGGAGCAAAUCUGGAGACUCAGGGGUAACAGAAAUGAUAGACUACUGUCAGAACACCUUACAGUUAUUGAGUGGAACGAGUGGCUCGCCAAAAAGCACAAAAAUGGUACAUUGGGGAGACUGAUUUAUGACAUUUCCAAAAAAUACAGAUAAUUCUAAAAGUUAAUGUUGCUACUGCUUUUUUUUUUCUUUUUGAAAAUGUUAUUUGAAAACUUUAUGUAAAGCGCUACAGGUCAUAUAGUUUGCAUCCAGCCGUGUUCUGUAUUACCUCAAAUACUGGCUGAUAGUUUAUGACACUUUUUAUUUUUGUAUCAAAAUUUGUGUGUCCAAUCUGUUCUCAUAUUUUUGUGAUUAGCAUCUUAAAAAUACAGUGCGUUCUGGAUCUACCCUGUGUGUUGUCAUUUAUUUUUUGUUACAAUGUACUUUAAAAACUUUCAAAUCUAUAAAUAGGUUGUAUGGUAUAUAUGGUCCCCACUUUAGAUGGGCUCACUCAAGAUACUUUACUAACAAGUAGCAAAUGGUUUGUAACUUCCUAAAUAAGUUUAUUAAGGUAUUUAUGAGUAUUUAUAGAUAAUCUAUUGAAAAAGAAGUUGGCCAGUAGUGAGU